This 80-nucleotide transfer RNA is filed under the name Vagococcus teuberi. RNAcentral describes it as "tRNA-OTHER". The record is from RNAcentral. Lineage: Bacteria; Bacillati; Bacillota; Bacilli; Lactobacillales; Enterococcaceae.
GGCCCGCUUUGCGUCAAGCGGUUAAGACACCGCCCGUGUCGACGGCGGGGUAAACACGGGUUCGAGUCCCGUACGGGUCA